Molecule: long non-coding RNA, 983 nt
Filed under: Coffea arabica (coffee)
Lineage: Eukaryota; Viridiplantae; Streptophyta; Magnoliopsida; Gentianales; Rubiaceae
Description: long non-coding RNA (CARA_LNC006666)
Source: RNAcentral
GAGAAGCUGAGGCGGCCCAUUUAUACAUUUACCCUACCAAGGCCUGGCUAAAGAUACCACAGGCAGGUUUGUAGAACAAUUUAUUUGGUGUAUCAAGAUGAAGCAUCACUCAAAGAACAAUCAAUUUGGUGUAUCAAGGUGAAGCAUCACAAGAGGAGUACGUGAAAACUAAUGUCAUGUCUCACAAUGCAAUCAAUUGAAGGUCUCUUAGAAAACUGAUGGUAGGAUGCCUCAAUUUGUGGAUGUGCCUUUCAUCAUUCCUGUCAAGAACUCAUUCAUCAAAGUAUCCAUUCUUGAUUCAUUUACUCCAAACUUCCUAGUACCACAAAUUACAUUAAACAUGCGAAAAAGUCCACAGUUUUAUGGCUCUGACAGCUCUUUUCUCCUUUAGGCUGUCUCUGCUUCUGUUAAGAUUGAGGAAGGUCUUUGCUUUCAUUCCAUUGUAAACAAUGCUAUUUGGCCAAAGAUGCUGAGAGCAGAAAGUGGAAUCUGUGAUAAAAGAUUUUAAUUUUAUUAAGGAAGAAGACAUCGAAUCCCAAAGAAACUAUUGAGAUUGGUUUAAUCUUCUGGGGCAGAAAGAUUUUGACACACAGUUCAAUGCAUAUAAUCUGCGUGGUUAAGGCACUUGUUUUUGUACACGAGUAUCUUCUUGAUCCAUCUAAAUCCUUUCUUAAAGGAUAUCCUUCCUUUGAAUUUCAUUGUGUUUCGCGGCGGGGAGUCAGGGGAGAUGUUUGAUAAGAUAAUUUUUUUCUUCUUCUUGCAGGUUAAACACUCAACAGAAAAAGCAUAAAGUGCAAAAUUAACCUGAGCUAUGUCCUCAAGUCUAGAGGAAGGUAAAGCAAGUUGAUCUGGAUAGUCCUCAAAUCCUUCUAAUUUAUCAGAAUGAAGCAAUGGGUCUGUGCAACUCCCAGGAGGUGAUACGUAGCUUUCCCUUGGUGACUUAAUGACAGAGGAGUCACUUAUUUCUACCUCCUUUGAGCUCU